AUAUUAAUAAGCGGAGGAAAAGAAACUAACAAGGAUUCCCCUAGUAACGGCGAGUGAAGCGGGAAGAGCUCAAACUGAAAAUCGACGCGUCAAGCGACACGUUCGAGUUGUAGUCUAGAGAUGCAUGGUCAGCGGUGACCCCGGUAUAAAUCUUUUGGAACAAGGUAUCAUAGAGGGUGAGAAUCCCGUCUUUGACUGGAAGUUCGCCGCGUACGACCUGCAUUCAAUGAGUCGAGUUGUUUGGGAUUGCAACUCUAAAUGGGUGGUAAAUUUCAUCUAAAGCUAAAUAUCAGCGAGAGACCGAUAGCGAACAAGUACCGUGAGGGAAAGAUGAAAAGAACUUUGAAAAGAGAGUUAAAAAGUACUUGAAAUUGUUAAGAGGGAAGCGAUGGCAACCAGUGAUUGCGGUGUGCGGUAUCCUUAGAGAGUGCUAUUGCCAGUGGAGUGGUUUUCGGAACUGUUUCCUGGUUCAGUGGAGAUCUCUGGGUUACGCCGUGUACUGUCGAGUCAGCAUCAGUUGGGGCUGCGUGAGAGAAAGCGUUUGGAAAGGUAGGGCGUAUCAGCAAUGGUAUUCCUGUUAUAAGCCAGACGCCCUAUUACGUCUUCGACUGAGGAUCAUGUGACAAUGCGCUGUUUCGCCGACCUGUUCCCUGCUGCGUUAUUUCCGUGGAUCGCAAAGCUGUGCGCGGGGAGAAGCGUGGUACUGGUGUGGGAAGGUAGAAGCGUAUUCGCGAUGCUGACGAAAUGGUUUUCAUUGA
RNAcentral lists this ribosomal RNA (758 nucleotides) under uncultured fungus. RNAcentral's name for it is "eukaryotic LSU rRNA". It matches the Rfam family "Eukaryotic large subunit ribosomal RNA", at positions 40 to 647 of the family's 3401-position model. Lineage: Eukaryota; Fungi. The record is from RNAcentral.